GCAGGAGUGACUGAAUGGUUACGCUGUUCGCUUUUUAAGCGGAUGAUCAUGAGUUCAUUUCCCAUCUGCUCCU
RNAcentral lists this transfer RNA (73 nucleotides) under Culex quinquefasciatus (southern house mosquito). It matches the Rfam family "tRNA". Rfam says of the family: Transfer RNA (tRNA) molecules are approximately 80 nucleotides in length. Their secondary structure includes four short double-helical elements and three loops (D, anti-codon, and T loops). Lineage: Eukaryota; Metazoa; Arthropoda; Insecta; Diptera; Culicidae. The record is from Rfam by way of RNAcentral.